RNAcentral lists this transfer RNA (57 nucleotides) under Loxodonta africana (African savanna elephant). Lineage: Eukaryota; Metazoa; Chordata; Mammalia; Proboscidea; Elephantidae. The record is from Rfam by way of RNAcentral.
UGAUAUAGUGGUUAAAUGCUCGGCUGCUAACUGAGAGGUUGGUGGUUUGAACCCACC